This is an RNA transcript of Scylla paramamosain (green mud crab), 3249 nucleotides long. RefSeq lists it as uncharacterized. The record is from RefSeq and is a predicted model, not a curated record. The transcript is spliced from 17 exons. Lineage: Eukaryota; Metazoa; Arthropoda; Malacostraca; Decapoda; Portunidae.
AGCUCCAUCCGCCGCCUACCCGCCAGCACGGCCUCCUCGCUUUAGUGUCACCCCACACUUACUCAGUUAAAGACGUCCUUACAUUGAAAAGCAACCGCAUAUUCUAAGUUGCUAGUGUUUCAUCGUCUGUCCGUGUGAGGCAGCGUGCUUGGAGUCCUGAUCUGUGGUUAGCCCUGCUCUCCUCUAGCCUUACUGAGUGACGCUUCCUUGUCCUGCUUGCAAACGCGGACAUGACAUGACAUAGUAGUGAGUGAGGCAGCACGUACUCUUCAGGAGACGCAUCUGUGAGGGAAACACGGCGCGAUGUUCAAGGCGUACACAUUAUCGUUAAGGAAAACCCUAGAAGCCUCCUUACCAGGGGUCCGCGUUGCACACCAGCCUAAGGCCAGGAGGGCUGCUACUGACAAGGGCACAGAACAGUUGGAGAAAAGUAAACAUGAAGAAAGAAAAAGAGACAUGGGAAGAGGCAAAGGGCGUCUAGAGAGGACAAGCGAGGAGCACUGGGCGCUGGUGGCCGGCCAGGUGUUCCAGUCCUGGACUGGUGACUGCCCCCGCCGCACCUACCAGUCCAGCCUCGCCAGCGCCCUCACACUGCGGCCCACCACCGCCGCGGAUGGGGGCGAAGGAAGUGCCGAGCCCUGGAACGGCCACCUGCCCCCAGCAGCGCUGCGGGAGUUAACCCAGCUGGCAGAUGAACUGGGCCUCCGCAAGGACGCUCAGCAGCUGGCCUGGUGGCUCGUGGGCAGCCGACUAGCCUCGGUAGAUGCCGAAUGGAUACUCUCUCAGGUGAAGGACAUCCAAGCCUCGCUAGAAGAGAACGCUUACACGGAGGAGGAGAAGGCCGACCUGCUGCAUUCCCUCACGCUCUACAUCUACUCCCAGAUCAAGAGGCUCAAGUCUCUGCACACGGCCUUCCCCAGCAGCUGCAGCAAGCAGCUCACGUUCACCCUCAGGACACUGAGGAAUCUGGAGGAGCACCCUGCCACUCGCCGUCUGCUGGACACUGCCGGUCAGCCUCCCAUCCCUGAGGACGUCACCGCCGCUCUCCAACGUCACGUCCACGAAUGGUGGAGUGAGGUGGUACAGGUGGAACCAAGCUCCACGGAGGAACGUGAGGAACAACUCAGACGAGCAGUGAACACCGUGACCCGCGUGCCGGCGUUGCUCUCACGAGAAGCCGAGAUGUACCAUCAAAUAUUUCAGAGAGAGCUGUCAGUGUCAUAUGACAAUUUGUGUCGGCGGGAGGUACGCAGCCGCCUUGACAAUCUCGCCUCGUCCCUUCUCGUCCCAAGUGACUCGAAACCUCAAGCCCCAUUGAAAGACAGAUCGCGAGACGGAGAGAUUUACUCACAGCUACAAAACUUCGCCGUAGGUUCGCCGCUUUGGUCACUGUACAAGUCACUGGGCCGCGCGUACAGCGCAUGUGACGAUUUGGAAAGCAAGACUGCCGCCGCGCCACACAGUUAUCCAGGCUGCUUUCUGAGGAGCGUGGCUUUUUGGUUGGGCCCGGCAAGCAGAGACACCAGGCUGGGUAUCUUUCACUCUUAUAGCAGCACGUCCACCCUUCAAGAUGUACUGACAGCCUUCACGGAGGCGAGGGAGUGGUGGCGGGAGCUGGCAUGGCCCGACCCGGAGACUCGAGGCGUGGUGGCGGUGGGGCUGCUGGAGAACCUCUGCUCCCUCGCAACUCGCCGAUGCCAGGGCGUCAUCUCCCGCUGCCCUCGAGACUCCACGCCACCAGUACAACCUUACUUUGACGUUGAAUUUUGUUCAUGCCUGAAGAGCGUGUCGCGGGUCGCUGAGGAGGUGCAGCAGCUUUCCGAUGACCUUGGACUGGAGGAAGUGGUGGAGGGAAUGCGCAAGUGUGGUAACAGGGGCGCCGCGGAUCAAGCCAAGGAUACCGUCUCCACCUUGCUUUCCAGCGUUGUCCAGAAUUUGGAAAACUUACUAGACCAAUACAUAGACACGGCCAUCGAUCAGGCAGUGCCCAAGUUGAGGGAGGAGGUGGUGGAGGUGUGUGAGCGAGGAGGCAGCUCGACGCCUCCCAGCUUGCCUUCAACUCUCAGCCUCCUCCAGGAACAUCUCCCGCACUCAUUAUCACCAAGGUCACACUACGUUCCACCGAGCAGUUCAAAGGCGUCCAGCACCUCGUCCUCCCCAUGCCUCUCUGUAUGCUACUCUCCGUCACUUUUCCAGCGUCUUUUGGUGAGACUGUGGGAUGCUGUCGUUCUUCAGUUUAUGGUCACUGUUGCUGAGAAAACAGGCAAGCAGACUUCAGAAUACUUCAGUCGGGUGCACAGCAUCCUGGAGGCCACCCUGGCGCUCUUCACCACUCCCGGUCGUCUCCACCCUAGAGCUGCCGCCACACCAGGGUACAGGUCUGUGGCCGAGCAAGUGAAGGGCCAGCGAAUGUCUAGCCCGGCGCUCAUCCUACAGUACUACCUGUCUCGCUACACACAGCAGACCGAACCGCACCUCCCAACUGUAGCUCACGUCCUCGUCAGGGCCUUCUACAGCCAGCCAGGACACUUGACGGUGCGAGUGUUAGAGGCACGGGACGUGGAAACGGUGACAGGAAAGUCUCUGCGUUACCACGUGACUGUGCAGGUGGUGCCCCGCGAGGUGUGUUGCGGGGGUUUCCUGCACCGCACCACCACUGUCACCCACUGCCCCGCCUCCUUCUACGAAACAUUCGAAUUCCCGACGGGAGAGUGCAGGGGCGAGGGCAGCGCCGGAUGGCUACAGUUCACCCUCGAGGCGACGCGGAGCAGCGGCGGCAGCGGUUUAUUUCUCGGGGAAGCCUUCGUGCCCCUCGCCUCCAUCCCAUACGUGGAUUCCCCGGAGCUACAGAACACGACCCUCCGAUUGACUACGCCUGUUUUCCCACCAGGAUACGAGUCUGUGGCGGUGCUUCGGUCACGAGUGAGCAGCGACGAGCAGGCUGCGUCCUUCAUUCGUAUGCUAGAGAGGAGGCACCCGGAAAGCCGCUGCGCAGGACACACCAAGUGCUCGAGGAGCGGGCCUUAGCAGUUCCGUGAUGGAUGGAGCCCGUACAUUCCUGCGCCUUUCACAAUAAUAAUACUUGGUCUUCUAUCAACUGGUGCUGGUUAUCUAGAGUAAGAUUUUUGUUAACAUCAAUGCAAUAUAGGAGAAAAUUUAUACUAUGGCUAAAGGCUGUUUCUUGAUGAACAUAUACAUAAAUACAAACUGUAAAGCAAAGCUGAAAUAUAUGUACUGCAACAUCUAUAA